UCCCUGUUUAUCAAAAACUGGUUUCUUGAUUUUAUUUAAGAAAUUUAACCUGCCCCCUGAAAAUUUUUUUUUGAAGGGCCGCAGUAUUUUGACUGUGCAAAGGUAGCAUAAUCAUUAGUCUUUUAAUUAAAGGCUGGAAUGAAUGGUUGGAUGAGGUGAAAUCUGUUUUAUAUUUAUUGUAAUUGAAUUUAGAUUUUAAGUAAAAAGACUUAAAUGUUAUUAAGGGACGAGAAGACCCUAUAGAGUUUAAUAAAUUUAAUAAUUAAUUAAGUUAUGAAAGAAAAAAUUUUUGAUUUUUAUGACAUUUAUUUAAUUGGGGUGAUUAGAAGAUAAAAUAACUCUUCUUUAAAUUUAAUAUAAUAAUUAGUUAUAUGAUCCAUAAUUAAUGAUUGAAAGAUUAAACUACCUUAGGGAUAACAGCAUAAUUUUUUUUAAGAGUUCAAAUCGAAAAAAAAGAUUGUGACCUCGAUGUUGGAUUAAGAUUAGUUUUAGGUGUAGAUGUUUAUAGAACUAGGUCUGUUCGACCUUUAAAAUCUUACAUGAUCUGAGUUCAAACCGGAGA
This 562-nucleotide ribosomal RNA is filed under the name Otomantis sp. MN161. RNAcentral's name for it is "partial 16S ribosomal RNA". It matches the Rfam family "Bacterial large subunit ribosomal RNA", at positions 1795 to 2622 of the family's 2925-position model. The record is from RNAcentral. Lineage: Eukaryota; Metazoa; Arthropoda; Insecta; Mantodea; Hymenopodidae.